This 478-nucleotide ribosomal RNA is filed under the name uncultured bacterium. RNAcentral describes it as "partial 16S ribosomal RNA". It matches the Rfam family "Bacterial small subunit ribosomal RNA", at positions 28 to 523 of the family's 1533-position model. The record is from RNAcentral.
GACGAACGCUGGCGGCGUGCUUAACACAUGCAAGUCGAACGGUAAGGCCCUUCGGGGUACACGAGUGGCGAACGGGUGAGUAACACGUGGGUGAUCUGCCCUGCACUUCGGGAUAAGCCUGGGAAACUGGGUCUAAUACCGGAUAGGACCACUGCCUGCAUGGGUGGUGGUGGAAAGCUUUUGCGGUGUGGGAUGGGCCCGCGGCCUAUCAGCUUGUUGGUGGGGUGAUGGCCUACCAAGGCGACGACGGGUAGCCGGCCUGAGAGGGUGAACGGCCACACUGGGACUGAGGUACGGCCCAGACUCCUACGGGAGGCAGCAGUGGGGAAUAUUGCACAAUGGGCGCAAGCCUGAUGCAGCGACGCCGCGUGAGGGAUGACGGCCUUCGGGUUGUAAACCUCUUUCAGCACCGACGAAGCGCAAGUGACGGUAGGUGCUGAAGAAGGACCGGCCAACUACGUGCCAGCAGCCGCAGUAA